CAGAAACUCAAAGGAAUUGACGGGGCCCGCACAAGCGGAGGAGCAUGUGGUUAAUUCGAUGAUACGCGAGGAACCUUACCUGGGCUCGAACGUAAGAUGACUGUAGGUGAAAGCUUACAUCUCUUCGGAGCAUUUUACGAGGUGCUGCAUGGUUGUCGUCAGCUCGUGCCGUGAGGUGUCGGGUUAAGUCCCAUAACGAGCGCAACCCCUACCUUUAGUUGCCAUCAGGUUAAGCUGGGGACUCUAAAGGAACUGCCUACGCAAGUAGUGAGGAAGCGGGGAUGACGUCAAAUCAGCACGGCCCUUACGUCCAGGGCUACACACGUGCUACAAUGGCCGAUACAGAGGGCAGCUACCUGGUGACAGGAUGCAAAUCUCCAAAGUCGGUCUCAGUUCGGAUCGGAGUCUGCAACCCGACUCCGUGAAGUUGGAUUCGCUAGUAAUCGCGCAUCAGCCACUGGCGCGGUGAAUACGUUCCCGGGCCUU
Molecule: ribosomal RNA, 486 nt
Filed under: uncultured Sphingobacteriales bacterium
Lineage: Bacteria; Pseudomonadati; Bacteroidota; Sphingobacteriia; Sphingobacteriales
Description: bacterial SSU rRNA
Rfam family: Bacterial small subunit ribosomal RNA
Source: RNAcentral